UUAACUCAAAUUUAUAUUGAGUUGAAACGUUUGCCUACGUUUGCCGCUAGAGGCGCUGAUCCAAUUGCAUACAAAUCUGAGUUA
This 84-nucleotide microRNA precursor is filed under the name Bombyx mori (domestic silkworm). RNAcentral describes it as "mir-2807 microRNA precursor family". It matches the Rfam family "mir-2807 microRNA precursor family". The record is from Rfam by way of RNAcentral. Lineage: Eukaryota; Metazoa; Arthropoda; Insecta; Lepidoptera; Bombycidae.